RNAcentral lists this transfer RNA (62 nucleotides) under Arocatus melanocephalus. RNAcentral's name for it is "tRNA-Glu". Lineage: Eukaryota; Metazoa; Arthropoda; Insecta; Hemiptera; Lygaeidae. The record is from RNAcentral.
ACUUAUAUAGUUUAUAUAAAACCUCUCAUUUUCAAUGAGAAAAAAGAAAAUUCUUAUAAGUU